RNAcentral lists this ribosomal RNA (484 nucleotides) under uncultured bacterium. Its description in RNAcentral is "bacterial SSU rRNA". It matches the Rfam family "Bacterial small subunit ribosomal RNA", at positions 28 to 513 of the family's 1533-position model. The record is from RNAcentral.
GAUGAACGCUAGCGGCAGGCUUAACACAUGCAAGUCGAGGGGUAUAGUUCUUCAGAACUAGAGACCGGCGCACGGGUGCGUAACGCGUAUGCAAUCUACCUUUUGCAGAGGGAUAGCCCAGAGAAAUUUGGAUUAAUACCUCAUAGUAUGUGAGAAUGGCAUCAUUUUCACAUUAAAGUCACAACGGCAAAAGAUGAGCAUGCGUCCCAUUAGCUUGUUGGUAAGGUAACGGCUUACCAAGGCUAUGAUGGGUAGGGGUCCUGAGAGGGAGAUCCCCCCACACUGGUACUGAGACACGGACCAGACUCCUACGGGAGGCAGCAGUGAGGAAUAUUGGACAAUGGGCGCAAGCCUGAUCCAGCCAUGCCGCGUGCAGGAUGACGGUCCAAUGGAUUGUAAACUGCUUUUGACAGGAAGAAACACUGGUUCGUGAACCAGCUUGACGGUACUGUAAGAAUAAGGAUCGGCUAACUCCGUGCCAGCA